UACGUAGGCAGCAAGCGUUGUUCGGAGUUACUGGGCGUAAAGCGUGCGCAGGCGGUUAUGCAAGACAGAUGUGAAAUCCCCGGGCUCAACCUGGGAACUGCAUUUGUGACUGCAUAGCUAGAGUACGGUAGAGGGGGAUGGAAUUCCGCGUGUAGCAGUGAAAUGCGUAGAUAUGCGGAGGAACACCGAUGGCGAAGGCAAUCCCCUGGACCUGUACUGACGCUCAUGCACGAAAGCGUGGGGAGCAAACAGG
RNAcentral lists this ribosomal RNA (253 nucleotides) under uncultured bacterium. Its description in RNAcentral is "partial 16S ribosomal RNA". It matches the Rfam family "Bacterial small subunit ribosomal RNA", at positions 524 to 776 of the family's 1533-position model. The record is from RNAcentral.